GCUGUGUGAGGUGCGCACUGUUUGGCUGAAGCGUUACUGGUUUAGUUUGAGUUUGUUUCCGCAGCGUUGCCGGCGCUCCUGGGUUCUACAGAAGUUGCUAUUGCUAAACUGUUUACGUUAGUUGGGUGUUUUUGUGCAUGGACGACAUAGUACUGUGUGCACGCUCUGGGGCCGAAAGCCCCAUAGUCAAACAUGGCCGCCUCCAUGGACUGGCUUCAUGGCCACCUCCAUGGACUGGCUUCAUGGCUCAUUGAACAGCUCCGAUAGGAAUCCAUGGAGCCGAAACCACAUCCACGCAAAUACGCAUAUCAUAUCAUACACACGUUACAGAGCCAGGAAUAAAUGCUCUAACUUCA
Molecule: long non-coding RNA, 356 nt
Organism: Anguilla rostrata (American eel)
Lineage: Eukaryota; Metazoa; Chordata; Actinopteri; Anguilliformes; Anguillidae
Exons: 3
Source: RefSeq, a predicted model, not a curated record